RNAcentral lists this ribosomal RNA (382 nucleotides) under uncultured bacterium. Its description in RNAcentral is "partial 16S ribosomal RNA". It matches the Rfam family "Bacterial small subunit ribosomal RNA", at positions 523 to 908 of the family's 1533-position model. The record is from RNAcentral.
AUACGGAGGAUCCGAGCGUUAUCCGGAUUUAUUGGGUUUAAAGGGUGCGCAGGCGGCCAUUUAAGUCAGCGGUUAAAUCGUGGGGCUCAACCCCAUUCUGCCGUUGAUACUGGGUGGCUUGAUUGCGGUCGAGGUUGGCGGAAUUCGUUGUGUAGCGGUGAAAUGCAUAGAUAUGACGAAGAACACCGAUUGCGUAGGCAGCUGACCAGACCGCAAAUGACGCUCAUGCACGAAAGUGCGGGGAUCGAACAGGAUUAGAUACCCUGGUAGUCCGCACAGUAAACGAUGAAUACUUGUUUUCGGCGAUAUAAUGUCGGAGGCAAAGCGAAAGCGAUAAGUAUUCCACCUGGGGAGUACGCCGGCAACGGUGAAACCCAAAGGA